UUUAUGAGUUUGAUCCUGGCUCAGAAUGAACGCUAAUAGUAUGCUUUACACAUGCAAGUUAUACCAAUAAGUUUGGUAGCAAACGGGUGAGUACUUUAUAAAGAAAAUAUGAUAUUUUUUACCUUUUAGUCUUGGAUAUGUAUAUAAAUAAUAUUAAAAAAAUCACUUUAUUAUUUAUAAAAAAUACGAGAUAACAACUUAAGCUAAAGUAAUUUAAAAAAUAAAAAGACUCCCCCCAGAAGUAAGUUUAUUUCUUAAAAAUGUUUGCGCUAAAGUGUGAUUUAAAAAAUUUAAAAAAUAAAUACCUGGCUUCACCACUAGGAUUACAUUUUAUUUUUGAAAAUUGCUAAAAGAUAACUUUAUAAAAAAUUAGGUAGUUGGUUGUGAUUAAAAGCGCACCAAGCCCUUGAUUUUUAGUUGGUCUGAGAGGAUGAUCAACCACACUGGAACUGAGAAAAGGUCCAGGCCGUAUUGGCCAGCAGUGAGGAAUAUUGGACAAUGAACGAAAGUUUGAUCCAGCAAUACUAUAUGAACGAUGACAGCUGUUAAUAGAGUUUUUAUUAAAUAAAAACUCUGGUUGUAAAACUUUUUUCGUUAAAGAUGAUAAUGACAUUAUAUUAAAGAAGAUUUAGUCCCGGCUAAUCUCGUGCCAGCAGCCGCGGUAAUACGAAGGGGGCUAGCGUUGUUCGGAAUUACUGGGCGUAAAGCGCACGUAGG
RNAcentral lists this ribosomal RNA (717 nucleotides) under Pseudictyota dubia. RNAcentral describes it as "partial Bacterial small subunit ribosomal RNA". It matches the Rfam family "Bacterial small subunit ribosomal RNA", at positions 1 to 575 of the family's 1533-position model. The record is from RNAcentral. Lineage: Eukaryota; Bacillariophyta; Thalassiosirophyceae; Eupodiscales; Odontellaceae.